AGAGCCCAAUGUAGCCAAGUAAUAAAUUGCCGACCAAAUACUGACUAAUUUUUCAAGAUGUUGAUGUAUUGAUCAUCAUUCUACUUGGUACUAAUUGUUACACUGCCGGCAAUUCAUCCUUGGCUCUACUGUACUCUCA
Molecule: microRNA precursor, 139 nt
Filed under: Olea europaea subsp. europaea
Lineage: Eukaryota; Viridiplantae; Streptophyta; Magnoliopsida; Lamiales; Oleaceae
Source: RNAcentral